Molecule: long non-coding RNA, 534 nt
Organism: Lactuca sativa (garden lettuce)
Lineage: Eukaryota; Viridiplantae; Streptophyta; Magnoliopsida; Asterales; Asteraceae
Source: RefSeq, a predicted model, not a curated record
GUUGAAGUAGAUCAGUUGUGGACAAUGAGGAGGUGGAAGGGUUGCUAUUGUUUCAAAUUCAAUAAUUCUUUUAUUUUAUCAACUAAAGGCAUACUUUUGAAGCUGAAAUCAUGCCUCAAAAACAAAGCAAAAGGGCAUAAGAAUGGACUGGUGAGUCUUUACAAAGACAUGGAGGCUUGUGGGGGAUACGAAGAUAUACAAGUGAUGUGGGAAAUGGUUCAUUCUUCAUCUCAUUCUUCAAAUGUCAAAAAGAUUCAACGCAACGAUAAACCCUUUUAUUGGAGAUUUUGUUUGGAUACAACUUAAGAUUUUUUUUUUGUAUCCCCAAUACAGCUUUUUCCUUUUCAACCCAAAUCACUAGUAUUAUUUAUCUUAAUAGGUAGGGGUAUUAUGGACAAUUUCCAGCUCCAUGAACGUGUAAUUAGUCAUAAAUCUUGGUACAUCAACAUAUAUGUUAAGUGGAAUAGUUAUUUUAUCAUAAUUGUCUUGGUAUAAAGCAGAACAUAUUAAAACCAUGACCAAAAUUUCACUCUA